Molecule: non-coding RNA, 297 nt
Organism: Bactrocera oleae (olive fruit fly)
Lineage: Eukaryota; Metazoa; Arthropoda; Insecta; Diptera; Tephritidae
Source: RefSeq, a predicted model, not a curated record
AUCAGGUGGCAUAAAUUUCCUAGCUUUACGCUUAGGAAGUGUUCCGAAACCGGUACUUUUUUGCAAAGAAUAGGAAUUUAAAAAAACAUUUAGGCUUUGUUUUUAUUUAAUGUAGUGUACAUUGUAGAUUUAUACAAUGGUAGUGUAUCAUUUACUACAGAAUUAAAUCAUCGACGGAGUAAUUUAAUGCACCUUGCUGUGGUGCAGGGGCUUAAGUCCUAAGGCAUUCUCGGCAUCUUCCCACCGGGAUUAGGAGUGCUGCCUAGCACCUCUCACACCCGUUGACAGAAGCCACAU